Molecule: ribosomal RNA, 843 nt
Filed under: Bacillus safensis
Lineage: Bacteria; Bacillati; Bacillota; Bacilli; Caryophanales; Bacillaceae
Description: bacterial SSU rRNA
Rfam family: Bacterial small subunit ribosomal RNA
Source: RNAcentral
CGAGAGUAACUGCUCNCACCUUGACGGUACCUAACCAGAAAGCCACGGCUAACUACGUGCCAGCAGCCGCGGUAAUACNUAGGUGGCAAGCGUUGUCCGGAAUUAUUGGGCGUAAAGGGCUCGCAGGCGGUUUCUUAAGUCUGAUGUGAAAGCCCCCGGCUCAACCGGGGAGGGUCAUUGGAAACUGGGAAACUUGAGUGCAGAAGAGGAGAGUGGAAUUCCACGUGUAGCGGUGAAAUGCGUAGAGAUGUGGAGGAACACCAGUGGCGAAGGCGACUCUCUGGUCUGUAACUGACGCUGAGGAGCGAAAGCGUGGGGAGCGAACAGGAUUAGAUACCCUGGUAGUCCACGCCGUAAACGAUGAGUGCUAAGUGUUAGGGGGUUUCCGCCCCUUAGUGCUGCAGCUAACGCAUUAAGCACUCCGCCUGGGGAGUACGGUCGCAAGACUGAAACUCAAAGGAAUUGACGGGGGCCCGCACAAGCGGUGGAGCAUGUGGUUUAAUUCGAAGCAACGCGAAGAACCUUACCAGGUCUUGACAUCCUCUGACAACCCUAGAGAUAGGGCUUUCCCUUCGGGGACAGAGUGACAGGUGGUGCAUGGUUGUCGUCAGCUCGUGUCGUGAGAUGUUGGGUUAAGUCCCGCAACGAGCGCAACCCUUGAUCUUAGUUGCCAGCAUUNAGUUGGGCACUCUAAGGUGACUGCCGGUGACAAACCGGAGGAAGGUGGGGAUGACGUCAAAUCAUCAUGCCCCUUAUGACCUGGGCUACACNCGUGCUACAAUGGACAGAACAAAGGGCUGCAAGACCGCAAGGNUUAGCCAAUCCCAUAAAUCUGUUCUCAGU